RNAcentral lists this ribosomal RNA (397 nucleotides) under uncultured cyanobacterium. RNAcentral's name for it is "bacterial SSU rRNA". It matches the Rfam family "Bacterial small subunit ribosomal RNA", at positions 383 to 796 of the family's 1533-position model. Lineage: Bacteria; Bacillati; Cyanobacteriota. The record is from RNAcentral.
GCAAGACGGACACGCCGCGAGAGGGAUGAGGCCUCUGGGCUGUAAACCUCUUUUAUCAAGGAAGAAGAUCUGACGGUACUUGAUGAAUAAGCCACGGCUAAUUCCGUGCCAGCAGCCGCGGUAAUACGGGAGUGGCAAGCGUUAUCCGGAAUUAUUGGGCGUAAAGCGUCCGCAGGCGGCCUUUUAAGUCUGUCGUCAAAGCGUGGAGCUUAACUCCAUUUAAGCGAUGGAAACUGGAAGGCUAGAGUGUGGUAGGGGCAGAGGGAAUUCCCGGUGUAGCGGUGAAAUGCGUAGAUAUCGGGAAGAACACCAGUGGCGAAGGCGCUCUGCUGGGCCAUAACUGACGCUCAUGGACGAAAGCCAGGGGAGCGAAAGGGAUUAGAUACCCCUGUAGUCA